Molecule: long non-coding RNA, 1490 nt
Organism: Gadus macrocephalus (Pacific cod)
Lineage: Eukaryota; Metazoa; Chordata; Actinopteri; Gadiformes; Gadidae
Exons: 2
Source: RefSeq, a predicted model, not a curated record
CGAUGGCCUAAUAGUCUGAUUCCCGGAUUAGAGCAACACGUUUGGUGUCAAGGCUGGUUCACCAGGUUGAAAAGUAAUGUUGCCCUAUAAAACAAGAUUAUCUCAUCAUUGAAGUUAAAACAGCAUCAUAAAUGAAUGCGUGCAUCAAAUCUAACAGUGUGUGUGUGUGUGUGUGUGUGUGUGUGUGUGUGUGUGUGUGUGUGUGUGUGUGUGUGUGUGUGUGUGUGUGUGUGUGUGUGUGUGUGUGUGUGUGUGUGUGUGUGUGUGUGUUACCAUGUCAACCUUGCACAACGAGCUGGAGGUGGCACAAUGCACUCCCCUAAAAACACGAGCACAUGCCCACACAAGCACAUUCAAAAACACGACCGAAAUCGUCAGUUUGCCAUUUGAGUCAGCACCAUAAUGGGGAAAUACUGUGGGAGUAAGGUGAAAAUAUGGUUAGCCGAUCAGAGUAUCCAAGUCAAGAUAUAAUCGUACAGGAUUUCCUUUAUAAUACCACAUACUACCCCAUCUCUAUCUCCUAAAUAAAUUCAUAAUUUAUCACCCGAGAUUAUAUCUAAGCAGGAUAUGUUGCAAUACUGACCACAGCCAGGGUUGGGAAACAAUAGAAGCAAAGGUGAAAGGAUGCAAAGAAAGGGAGGAAGUCUGUGCGUGUGUGUCUGUAUGUUUGUCCUUUCUUAACUUUCUGAAUACCUAGUCAUGAUGACAGUAUAGCUCCAGUCAAAAUGAAUAUUCACUUUUUCUUACAUAACAUGUCUAUGUAGAUUAGUAGGCCUACUAACACUAGUUAGUAGUAAGACAUGUCUGGUAUUUCUGUGGAAAUAAUUGAAAGGACAAGAGGAGAUAUUUAAAAAAAUAUAAUCUACACAGUUCGGAUUGAUUCGGGGUCAAACUAUGAAAAGUAAACAACAGCCACAAGAGCCCUCAGAUACGUGACUGUUCACACAUACCCAGGAAACCAGUGGUCACAUCUCCUCUCUUGGAUGUGUCCUUCAAGAGUGAAGUGCUAGUCGUGUGUAUGUACCGGAGCCGGUUAGGAACAAAACAUACUGCACGUCUUUAUUUUUUAAUACUGCUCUUUGCCCUGAUUCAAUUGCAUCAAAGAUAUACACGAAUCUCUUACUUGAAGUCUAGUUGAAUACAAAAUGCGAACGUGACAGCAGACCGCUACAGUUGCAGCCCUGUAGCGGAAAAGGAAUACAUUGCGCAUUGAUGUAUUCCUUAAAGAAGUAAUCAAAAUGACCCAUGUGGAAAUAUGCAUGUCGCUACUUACCUUUCAAAUAUACCCGGACUUCACAAUCGCUUGCUUGGCCAACAUUAACAGCUGUCACCGUCAAUAAAAUAGGUAAAGAAAAAAAAGGACGAGCAAAGGGGAGGUAGCCUCAUUUAAAUUCGACUGGCUCGCAUUGGUUUAAUAUGUAUUCCAUCAUUUGAAAGGUCCCCCUGCCCUAACAUAAACGUUCUUUCUGACGUGGGGGGUGUGUGUCAAA